RNAcentral lists this ribosomal RNA (132 nucleotides) under Castor canadensis (American beaver). The record is from RNAcentral. Lineage: Eukaryota; Metazoa; Chordata; Mammalia; Rodentia; Castoridae.
GUCUACAGCCAUACCACCCUGAACUCACCCAAUGUCUUCUGAUCUCAGAAGCUAAGCAGGGUGGAGCCUGGGUAGUACUUGGGUGGGAGAAUACUUUUGUUGAUUUUUGUCAAAUUCUGGUUAUCAUAGCCA